Molecule: long non-coding RNA, 1651 nt
Organism: Chroicocephalus ridibundus (black-headed gull)
Lineage: Eukaryota; Metazoa; Chordata; Aves; Charadriiformes; Laridae
Exons: 7
Source: RefSeq, a predicted model, not a curated record
AAAAGACUGAGAACAUGAACACCGCACUGGGAAUCAACUUGUCAUGUCAGGACUCGGAGGACGGAAAGUGGAUGGCAAACAACAGACUUGCUCUCUUUGAAGAAUUGUGGGAACGCUGCAAUGCCCCAAGUGUUUGCAACACGCCUCUGAGCUAAGUAUCAAUUAAACAUAACCUCCCUGGAGUUACUACAUCAAGGUAUGAACUGGGAAGAUUAUCCAUGCCGCCUCGCAUCACUGCCUGGGACAGAACAGUCCUGUGUUUGAAAGGUAAAAAUCCCUGUCACUGUGGCGCUUGCAACUGGGAGAGAAAGAAGUAACUCAUCCAGAAGUCUCCAAAACCUGACACAUCCCAUCAGUACCCCACAAAUACGCUAGAAAACCAACAGGAGCGGAGCACUUCAGCAGCUCUGAGGCUUCCUGUGUUUGUAAGGAUUUGCUGGAUGCCCUUACACAGGUCCACUGCAGUCUCAUGAGCACGUUAAAAUGUAUUUUAGACACCUCUCUAUGGUGCUCAGAUACCAGGAAAAUUCCUCUUGGAUCCUUCCAGAGUCUUGGCAUUCCAAGCAGCAGAAAACAAAUGCCCUGCGACAGACUGAGGGAACUUUAUCCACCGCAGCAUCCUUUUCCAUAAAUGUAUCUUCUCCCCGCGUGACACGACCCGCAGAGGAAGCCAGACGCACCUGAGGGAAGCUGCCUUGGUGCAGGAGGUUUGCCAAAACACGAGCGUUGCCCCAGCAGCGUGGGAUUCUUCACUUCUUACAGUGGCUGAACGUUCAAGAAACCUAACAGAAAUACAAAUAAGGAAAAAUACAACCAAACCUCCAUUAAAGAAGUGACAAGGUCCAAAAUGCAAACUGAACAAGAUUUGCUUAUUCUGUGCAAGAGAAACCUCUCGCUGGUACAACACUUGUGUGGCUUUGAUGCCGAAAAUAGGGAAGUAGCCUUGAAAUAAACUUUUCAUAUUAAACCGGCUUUCUUUAGUUGAUCAAUAUUGGCAAAAAGGUCUUAUGACAACCACAGUUUUAAAAUUUAAUAACAUACAACAAUGCAUAGUGUAUCCAACUUCAAAGUACAUUGUAAACACACUCUGGAAAGGCACAGACUUUGCUUUUCUUGGGGUUUUUUGUUUUGUUUUGUGGGGGGUUUUUUGUGUGUCUUUUUUUCUUAUUUAAUUCUACACUGCAAAAAUUUACCCCUAAAAGGAUUAGCUAAAAUGGAGUUGAGAUUCCUCACCACUUAGUUUAGUUCUUUAAAUGUAUGGACGCUGAUGUUUACCUCUUUUUGGUAGAGAGAGAUCUUUCUUCUUCGGCUGAUUCUUUUUCACACCCCUGGUCCCUGCCCUGCCCAGGCAGCUCUACAGAAACUAAAGAAUCUACAAACAGUUGCUAAAGUUGAAUGUGGAUCCCUUCCAGCGCAGAAAAACCAUUAAAUUGAACUGGUUUUGUUUACUACAGCUGUACCCAAGGUCAAGAUGCUCCAGAAAACGGAUAUUUCAGUCACAGACGCAGUUUAAAAAAGAUUAGAAAUAAUUAAUACAAUUUUACGUUUGGUAACUGUUUAAAUUCCAUUGGCUGACAAUGAUGUGGAGAACUGAAAGUUUGAUGGGGCAACAGCAGGUUUCCCCUUGGCUUCUUUACUUCGCUCCUUCCCU